UACCAUGUCAACACACUGACGCUAUGCCAGUUAGGUCCUGAAAACACAACACCACUCACUCUACCAUGUCAACACACUGACGCUAUGCCAGUUAGGUCCCGAUAACACAACACCACUCACUCUACCAUGUCAACACACUGACGCUAUGCCAGUUAGGUCCUGAAAACACAACACCACUCACUCUACCAUGUCAACACACUGACGCUAUGCCAGUUAGGUCCUGAAAACACAACACCACUCACUCUACCAUGUCAACACACUGACGCUAUGCCAGUUAGGUCCCGAUAACACAACACCACUCACUCUACCAUGUCAACACACUGACGCUAUGCCAGUUAGGUCCUGAAAACACAACACCACUCACUCUACCAUGUCAACACACUGACGCUAUGCCAGUUAGGUCCCGAUAACACAACACCACUCACUCUACCAUGUCAACACACUGACGCUAUGCCAGUUAGGUCCUGAAAACACAACACCACUCACUCUACCAUGUCAACACACUGACGCUAUGCCAGUUAGGUCCUGAAAACACAACACCACUCACUCUACCAUGUCAACACACUGACGCUAUGCCAGUUAGGUCCCGAUAACACAACACCACUCACUCUACCAUGUCAACACACUGACGCUAUGCCAGUUAGGUCCUGAAAACACAACACCACUCACUCUACCAUGUCAACACACUGACGCUAUGCCAGUUAGGUCCCGAUAACACAACACCACUCACUCUACCAUGUCAACACACUGACGCUAUGCCAGUUAGGUCCUGAAAACACAACACCACUCACUCUACCAUGUCAACACACUGACGCUAUGCCAGUUAGGUCCCGAUAACACAACACCACUCACUCUACCAUGUCAACACACUGACGCUAUGCCAGUUAGGUCCCGAUAACACAACACCACUCACUCUACCAUGUCAACACACUGACGCUAUGCCAGUUAGGUCCCGAUAACACAACACCACUCACUCUACCAUGUCAACACACUGACGCUAUGCCAGUUAGGUCCUGAAAACACAGGGGUGCCUCACUACCAUCCGUGUCCUAAGAAAGAACAGCCCUACCUAAUAACAGAAUGCAAUGUUGCUAGGUGUGAAAGGCAGUGUGCAAGUCUUUUAAAACACUUGAACAUCAGAGCUCUAGAGACGUGUGUAGCAGUGGUGUUUCCAUUUGUCUCAGUCUCAACACAACAUUACAUCAUAUGGAACAACAUCAGGAGAUGCAUGCAUCCAGAAGCACUUGAGGGGGAAACGUGGAAUAUCAAGUGGUAGUGACUUCUCUGACCCACUCUUCCUCUUGAGCAGCCAUCAUCAAAUCUUGCUGA
Molecule: long non-coding RNA, 1329 nt
Organism: Oncorhynchus keta (chum salmon)
Lineage: Eukaryota; Metazoa; Chordata; Actinopteri; Salmoniformes; Salmonidae
Exons: 4
Source: RefSeq, a predicted model, not a curated record